Molecule: non-coding RNA, 870 nt
Filed under: Pan troglodytes (chimpanzee)
Lineage: Eukaryota; Metazoa; Chordata; Mammalia; Primates; Hominidae
Source: RNAcentral
AAUCAGCGAGACUCUGUGGGCGUAGGACCCUGGGAGCCAGGUGCCGGAUAUAAUCUCGUGGUGCGCCGUUUUUUAAGCCCGUCGGAAAAGCGCAGUAUUCGGGUGGGAGUGACCCGAUUUUCCAGGUGCCGUCCGUCACCCCUUUCUUUGACUCAGAAAGGGAACUCCCUGACCCCUUGCGCUUCCCAAGAGAGGCAAUGCCUCGCCCUGCUUCAGCUCGCGCACGGUGCGCGCACCCACUGACCUGCGCCCACUGUCUGGCGCUCCCUAGUGAGAUGAACCCGGUACCUCAGAUGGAAAUGCAGAAAUCACCCGUCUUCUGCGUCGCUCACGCUGGGAGCUGUAGACCGGAGCUGUUCCUAUUCGGCCAUCUUGGCUCCUCCUGUAACAAUUUCUUGAGAUGAAGAUCCUGAAUACCAAAGAGGGCCGCUGACAGGUCCAGGAGUACACUUCUAGCACCUAGCAGAGAGAGGCUUCACUACAUCAUGCUUCCUGACAUCUCUCCGUUUGAAGAGCAGUCAGACUCCUGCUUUGCUCUUCAGACUUAAUUUGGGGGUUUAACAGCCAUGUGAAGUGCUCACUCCCCCUUUGCCUUCUGCCAUGAUUGUAUGUUUCCUGAGGCCUCCCCAGAAGCUGAGAAGAUGCUUCCUGUACAGCCUGCAGAACUGGAUAGCCCAGAGCUAUUCCAUGGAUGGGCACAUUUGGAAGUUUGGUUCUAAAAUCUAAAAGAAGAAAUUUAAGUGUGCUGAAGAUAACUGCAACUCCAAACCUAACGCUGUGUAGUUCUAUGUUCUGCCAUUUUGAAGCAAAGUGGAACCAGAAGUGAGAGGACUAUUUCUAGGUCAUGCUACGGUUACCCUGACCCCAGUC